Long non-coding RNA from Oncorhynchus tshawytscha (Chinook salmon), 1403 nucleotides. The record is from Ensembl. NCBI's taxonomy places the organism in Eukaryota, Metazoa, Chordata, Actinopteri, Salmoniformes, Salmonidae.
UUGUAUUUGAUAAACUUUUUAUUUAAAAGGUAUGGAUUUCAGCAAACAAAGAAAGCCAGAGAGGAAAAAAAAUAGAUACACGGUAAGGGUUUAAGAAUUUACAAUUUUGAAGUAUCGAUUAUACAGCGACUCGAAGAAUGUUGGAGGUUCACUCCAAAAACUCUAGGCUCCACUCAACUCCGCAGAAGAAAUCAGCAUGGAGUUGAGAUACUUGGCUAAAUUCUAAAUAGUUUGGACUGUGCAAUAUAACUAAUUUAUUAAUUUGUUAUGGAAAGGUUUGUGAACAUGCGCAGCAUCUUACAUCAAGCUGACCCUUGUGAUCAAGCAGCCAAACACUUUCUAGAACUGGAUAGGUGAUAACAUCCUAACAAAGAGUUAUUUGUACAUCACCCAAGAAAUAAGAGCGACAACCUGAUUAAUACCGUACUUUAUUUUCCCUCUUUGGGGGCCUCACUCUUUAGAAGAAAGCUAUUUCUGAACAUUUUCUAUAUCAACCCGGGAGAGCACUUUGAUGCGUUUGGGCAUGGCCACGAUAAUCUCCACCCCUGCCCUUUUUCUCUUCCCCGUGGGGGUGGUAACUGUUUUGACGCUAGCGUCCUUCUGAACCAGCACGGCCUCACUCUGAGCCUGGAGAACGUCCAGUUUCUGCCUGAGCUCCUGUAGGUGGUCAAUGUCGUUGAUCCCGCUCACAUUCUCCAUGAUGGAUUUGAGUUUGGCCACACACUCCCUCUGCAGUUCCUCCUUUUGCAGUUCCUCCCUCUCCCGCAGACCCUGUGAAGCCUGUGGGGCCACCCACUGUGUUUGUAUGCUAUGCAGUUGUAACUGUGGAGUUUGAGGAGUUUGCACCAGUGGCACUGUUUCUUCAGGCCCAUCCCACUGAAGAGAGACUGGGGAAGCUGGGGAGAGAUGCAUUAGGCCAUUGAGGGCUUCCUCCAUCUCCUCUGUUGUGGUGUGAGUGGUCUGUGAAUGCAGCGUGAGCAGAGGGUGGUCCCUGUAUUUGGGACACAGGUGCUCCCAGGUCCAGUUAGGCUCAGACCUGAAGACGUGACAGAAGUGUUCACAGGGCAGGCGCUGGUCCCUCCACACCUCACACUCACAGGAGGGCCAGGUGGACUCUGAACCGAAGCUGACCGCGUAGGACCGCGCUGCCGUGGUCUCUGCCCGACUCUUCACCCGGAAGGUGCCGGUGGCGGCGUCGCUGGCCUGCUCCACCACGAUGUCGGGGUCUUGCAGGGCCGCAGACAUGUUGUCCAUCACCAGGGCCACCACACUCCAAGGUCGAUGCCACAGGAACGGAGGCACAGUGGGGUUGAGGUUGUACUCGCCAGAGGACUGGCUGUUGAGGUCUGUGUACCUGGAGAUUCAGGGAGUGUAGCAGGUUUUGACUGACCAAACAUCAAAAC